GACGAACGCUGGCGGCGUGCUUAACACAUGCAAGUCGAACGGAAAGGCCCUGCUUUUGUGGGGUGCUCGAGUGGCGAACGGGUGAGUAACACGUGAGUAACCUGCCCUUGACUUUGGGAUAACUUCAGGAAACUGGGGCUAAUACCGGAUAGGAGCUCCUGCUGCAUGGUGGGGGUUGGAAUGUUUCGGCGGUUGGGGAUGGACUCGCGGCUUAUCAGCUUGUUGGUGGGGUAGUGGCUUACCAAGGCUUUGACGGGUAGCCGGCCUGAGAAGGUGACCGGCCACAUGGGGACUGAGAUACGGCCCAGACUCCUACGGGAGGCAGCAGUGGGGAAUAUUGCACAAUGGGCGGAAGCCUGAGGCAGCAACGCCGCGUGCGGGAUGACGGCCUUCGGGUUGUAAACCGCUUUCGCCUGUGACGAAGCGUGAGUGACGGUAAUGGGUAAAGAAGCACCGGCUAACUACGUG
This 468-nucleotide ribosomal RNA is filed under the name uncultured bacterium. RNAcentral describes it as "partial 16S ribosomal RNA". It matches the Rfam family "Bacterial small subunit ribosomal RNA", at positions 28 to 507 of the family's 1533-position model. The record is from RNAcentral.